ACAUGCAGUCGAACGGUGAAAGAGGAGCUUGCUCCUCUGGAUCAGUGGCGAACGGGUGAGUAACACGUGAGUAACCUGCCCCAGACUCUGGGAUAAGCACUGGAAACGGUGUCUAAUACCGGAUACGAGCUUCAGCCGCAUGGCUAGGAGCUGGAAAGAAUUUCGGUCUGGGAUGGACUCGCGGCCUAUCAGCUAGUUGGUGAGGUAAUGGCUCACCAAGGCGACGACGGGUAGCCGGCCUGAGAGGGUGACCGGCCACACUGGGACUGAGACACGGCCCAGACUCCUACGGGAGGCAGCAGUGGGGAAUAUUGCACAAUGGGCGCAAGCCUGAUGCAGCAACGCCGCGUGAGGGACGACGGCCUUCGGGUUGUAAACCUCUUUUAGUAGGGAAGAAGCGAAAGUGACGGUACCUGCAGAAAAAGCACCGGCUAACUACGUGCCAGCAGCCGCGGUAAUACGUAGGGUGCAAGCGUUAUCCGGAAUUAUUGGGCGUAAAGAGCUCGUAGGCGGUUUGUCGCGUCUGCUGUGAAAACUGGAGGCUCAACCUCCAGCCUGCAGUGGGUACGGGCAGACUAGAGUGCGGUAGGGGAGAUUGGAAUUCCUGGUGUAGCGGUGGAAUGCGCAGAUAUCAGGAGGAACACCGAUGGCGAAGGCAGAUCUCUGGGCCGUAACUGACGCUGAGGAGCGAAAGCAUGGGGAGCGAACAGGAUUAGAUACCCUGGUAGUCCAUGCCGUAAACGUUGGGAACUAGAUGUAGGGACCAUUCCACGGUUUCUGUGUCGCAGCUAACGCAUUAAGUUCCCCGCC
This 810-nucleotide ribosomal RNA is filed under the name unidentified microorganism. RNAcentral's name for it is "bacterial SSU rRNA". It matches the Rfam family "Bacterial small subunit ribosomal RNA", at positions 53 to 873 of the family's 1533-position model. The record is from RNAcentral.